This 444-nucleotide ribosomal RNA is filed under the name uncultured bacterium. Its description in RNAcentral is "bacterial SSU rRNA". It matches the Rfam family "Bacterial small subunit ribosomal RNA", at positions 29 to 521 of the family's 1533-position model. The record is from RNAcentral.
AGCGAACGCUGGCGGCAGGCUUAACACAUGCAAGUCGAACGGGCAUAGCAAUAUGUCAGUGGCAGACGGGUGAGUAACGCGUGGGAACAUACCUCUUGGUUCGGAACAACACAGGGAAACUUGUGCUAAUACCGGAUAAGCCCUUACGAGGAAAGAUUUAUCGCCGAGAGAUUGGCCCGCGUCUGAUUAGCUAGUUGGUGUGGUAAAAGCGCACCAAGGCGACGANCAGUAGCUGGUCUGAGAGGAUGACCAGCCUCAUUGGGACUGAGACACGGCCCAAACUCCUACGGGAGGCAGCAGUGGGGAAUAUUGGACAAUGGGCGCAAGCCUGAUCCAGCCAUGCCGCGUGGAUGAUGAAGGCCUUAGGGUGUAAAGUCUUUUAACGGGAAGAUAAUGACGUACCGUAGAUAAAGCCCCGGCUAACUUCGUGCCAGCAGCCGCAGU